AGGAAGCACCGGCUAACUCUGUGCCAGCAGCCGCGGUAAUACAGAGGGUGCAAGCGUUGUUCGGAAUUACUGGGCGUAAAGCGCGCGCAGGCGGAUGGUUGCGUCCGGAGUGAAAUUUCGCCGCUCAACGGCGAAGCUGCUCUGGAUACGGACUGUCUGGGGACCGGUAGAGGCUGGUGGAAUUGCUGGUGUAGCGGUGGAAUGCGUAGAGAUCAGCAAGAACACCCGUGGCGAAGGCGGCCAGCUGGGCCGGAUCCGACGCUGAGGCGCGAAAGCGUGGGGAGCAA
RNAcentral lists this ribosomal RNA (287 nucleotides) under uncultured bacterium. Its description in RNAcentral is "partial 16S ribosomal RNA". It matches the Rfam family "Bacterial small subunit ribosomal RNA", at positions 485 to 771 of the family's 1533-position model. The record is from RNAcentral.